This 467-nucleotide ribosomal RNA is filed under the name uncultured bacterium. RNAcentral's name for it is "partial 16S ribosomal RNA". It matches the Rfam family "Bacterial small subunit ribosomal RNA", at positions 28 to 506 of the family's 1533-position model. The record is from RNAcentral.
GACGAACGCUGGCGGCGUGCUUAACACAUGCAAGUCGAACGGAAAGGCCCUGCUUUUGUGGGGUGCUCGAGUGGCGAACGGGUGAGUAACACGUGAGUAACCUGCCCUUGACUUUGGGAUAACUUCAGGAAACUGGGGCUAAUACCGGAUAGGAGCUCCUGCUGCAUGGUGGGGGUUGGAAAGUUUCGGCGGUUGGGGAUGGACUCGCGGCUUAUCAGCUUGUUGGUGGGGUAGUGGCUUACCAAGGCUUUGACGGGUAGCCGGCCUGAGAGGGUGACCGGCCACAUUGGGACUGAGAUACGGCCCAGACUCCUACGGGAGGAAGCAGUGGGGAAUAUGGCACAAUGGGCGGAAGCCUGAUGCAGCAACGCCGCGUGCGGGAUGACGGCCUUCGGGUUGUAAACCGCUUUCGCCUGUGACGAAGCGUGAGUGACGGUAAUGGGUAAAGAAGCACCGGCGAACUACGU